RNAcentral lists this long non-coding RNA (3407 nucleotides) under Olea europaea subsp. europaea. Lineage: Eukaryota; Viridiplantae; Streptophyta; Magnoliopsida; Lamiales; Oleaceae. The record is from RNAcentral.
GUCAAAAUCCAAGUUGAUAACAGAUUCCACAUCUUUCCUGCCAUAAGUAAUUAUAAUUUGCACAAAUGUAUUCGAGCCCUCGAAUCCAAUUAAUUGUGCAACCAACAUCUUUCUUUAGUUCAGUUCAAGUCCUUCAAUUUUCAAAGUGUAGAAUUUGAUCCCCAAACUUUCCAUCCAGUGGCCAAUUUAAUUCCCGUACUUUGGAUUUUGCCAUUUUUCAUGGAUUUUUGCUUCUUUCCUUUAAUUCCUUUGUCAUUCAUAAAGUCUCACAUAUUAAACAUAAAAUACAACAAAUUAGGAUACCAUUUGUCAAAAGAACUAUCAAAUAUCGUUAUUUUAUAACCAAAUAAAUGUAUAAAAUACACUUAUCAAUUACUUUAUUCAGCAGUCAAAUUAGGUUUGUUUUCAGCUCGUCUAAAAAGGCUCACUGUAGAAUAUAUUUAACAAUGAACUAAAAUUUUGUUGUAUAAUUUACAUGAUGAAUAACGAAAAUUUUUGUUGCUAUUUUUGAAAUUUCAUCGUUAAAAAACAGAUUGGAUGAUAAACUUAUCAAUUAAUGAAUAGAUCAAGGUUAUGAUUACAAUUGAACCCCUUUAUCCAUAUUUUAAUAAAGUGAGAUGAGAUAUAGAUAUAUAAAAGUGGUGUGUUAAAUGCUUUAAUAAUUAAGAGAUAUGAAAUUUAUCCUUAACAGAAAAUCAUCCAAUACGGUAACUAACAUAUUAACUACAACACGACGCACGAUAAGGGUCCAUAACUCCAUAUGCAGAGACAGGGCCUUCGGAAUUAGAGAGAGAAGAAAAUGAUAAGCUUCAGCUCCUAUUCCCAGAAUGCGUGCAUGUUAAAUAUAAUCAUGAUGGUAUUUUACCAGAAGGAUUCCUUCUGGUUUCUGAUUCCAUUUUACUGCUUUACUUUCUUUACUACUUUUUAAAUUUGAAACCUUGCGAUGAAAUAGUUAUAUUGUGCACUAAAAAAUGAUGGUUCAUAAUUAUCCAUAUAUCUAUAACAAAAUUAUGCUGAAUUAUCAGAGUCUAAUCUACUUCAACAGUGACUAAUUGAGAACAAAUUAUACAAUAUAAACUUAGCCCAUGUUGACUCAUGUUUACAUAUGAGCUGUUAUAAAUACAUAAACGACUUUUUAUUGACACAUUUGAAUGACCUAUAAAUAAUAUCUACUUAUUCAUCACAUUUUUUAUUCACUUAUACUUAUAAUUUAAAUUAUUUAUAAACACUUUCAAUACGUGCUUAAUUCUUUUCAUAAUCUUUUUAGAGAUAAUCAUAUUGAUCUCAACAACUAGUGGAGACAAUUGAGUGUGAUGUGGUUUUACAUUUUUUUUUUUUUUACGGGGAAUUCGCAGCCGCUACACUUCGAAUGCGUAUUGGGUAAAUUCUCAAACUGAUGUAAUAGCUUGCAAACUCGCACUAGGCAAGCCCUGUACGACAUGUUCAGAAAGUAUUGGUAGGAAGAGUCGAACUCGUGAUCAAAGACCUCCGCGCUCAUCUACUCUACCAACUCGGCCACUUCAUGUGGGGAUGAUGUGGUUUUACUUUUCUCUUAUUAAUGGAGGCUCAGCAUAUCGGAACAAAGAUAUAUACCAUAUUCUAUGUCCUACGAAAUUGUUGCCUAACAUAGGUCCUGAACCACUACUUAAGAGAAGAAUAUUACAUAUUAGACUUUCCGAAAUUUAUGUGGAUCGGGACACCCACGUGGUUCUUGUAGAUGCCAAGUGGACAUGAAUCAUGGGAAAAUCUUUUUCCAAUGUUGGACGCUUCUAAAAUUCCAUUGAAGAUAGUAUUGCUUUUCAAUGCUACUUAUCUAUAUUAAUUUAUUUUAGCAUUUAGUUUCCAUGAACAAGUGGAUUGUGUUAAAAGUUGUAGACUCUGUUUCGGUAAGAAAAAUGCAUCGUAGAUUCAGAAGAGUAAGAGAAAUUUUCUUGCAGACAGAGAUAAUUAAAAAUAAUUCUUUCAUUUCUCUUAAAAUAUUCUUCUUUCACUAAUAAAUAUCUAACGAGCCAUAACCCAUAUUUGUUCUAUUCUAAAGAUUGAAAUCAACUUACUAUGUCCAUUUUAUUAGUCGUUUGGACAUAUAUAUAAGAACCAAGAAAAGGAAGAGAGCGUCCCCCCAGGGCAUAUCUCAACUGGUAAAGAUGAGGGCACUUCAAGACUGACAAAUCAAAAGUCGUGAGUUCAAUUCUUGAAAGGCUCUUGGAAGGCAGAUAUUCUUCUGGAAGGCAGGAUUUAUCUCGGAAGACAGGAGCUCUACUGGAAGGCAAUGUGCAAAGAUGAGAAACAACUUGCUUGGCACUUUGACAUAUCAAUUGGGGGGCUCUUGAUCAGUGGUCAGUUUGGGGCACAACCUGCGGUUUAACCUGUCUGCGGCUUGAGGGGCCAAGGUGUAGACUCCAGGAUUUAGUCACUGUAAGGUGGAUACCUGGAUAUCCAAAAAAAAAUAAAAAAAGGAAGAGAGCCGUAGAAAAGGUGUUGUAUAAGUAUAAUCAAUUAUUUAGAUUAAUUUAUUGUUGUAUUUGUUGUGUGGUCCGCCACAUGUAGGGUGGACAAAAUCUAUUUUACUACAAAUGUUAUCAAAUUUUCAAAGAAGAGAAAAUCAAUUUUGCUUCCUCAAUCAAUGGAAAAGUUUGAGAAAAAAUUGAAGUAAAGUUCAAAUCUUCUUUUCCAAUCAAUGAAAAAGUUUGACAAGAAAAUGAAGUUGAGUUCAACUCUUCCAUCCAACAUUUGCUUAUAAACAGGGUGAGAGAUUGUCACUGUCGGACCCACGGUGCGUCUUGGUUGGUAACGUGACCAAUUAUUUUUUUGAUCAGAUUUCAAAAGUUUAAAGCCAAAAUCAGAUUUAUCCUUCAUUCUCCAGUUGCCCUUCGCAAAACGGCAAAACCCGUUCAGCCAUUCCAUUGAAGCAGAAAAACUCUUUAAUCAUUAGCCUUGGAAGCAAAAGAACCCGAUUCAACGGAUGCAUGAUAUGCUUGUUCUGUUUGAAGAUUGUAUAAUGGGUUUGUGUUUAAACAUGAAAUGAUGCUGUUUAUGGGUUUGUUUUAGGGAUCGGAGGUCUGUAUAGGCUAAGUGUAUCUAAUUUGUCUAAAUGAAUUGAUAUGACAUUGUUAUCUUAGUCUGAAACCUUGUUUAUAUGGUUGUUGGGAAAUUGUCAACAUCAAGGGGUUUGGAGAAGAAAACUGAGAAACAAAAUAUCAAGAAGAUAAAAUGAGUAGAGAUUGAAACAAAAUAUAAAGGCUCAAAUAUGAAAUUAAUCUCGCUGUUCUCAAACGAUAUUUGUCCCCUCUCGGAUAUAAUUUUGGGGCUUAAAUGGUUUUAUGGAAAAAUGUUCGUAAGAUUGAUCAAGUCUUGUUAUUGAAAAACACUAAAGCAUAAAUGUUUUUCCAGUCGAAGUUGAAGAACAC